GGAGCACACAGUGAUGGGGAAGAAA
RNAcentral lists this unclassified non-coding RNA (25 nucleotides) under Mus musculus (house mouse). RNAcentral's name for it is "oocyte_clustered_small_RNA6326". The record is from RNAcentral. Lineage: Eukaryota; Metazoa; Chordata; Mammalia; Rodentia; Muridae.